This 534-nucleotide ribosomal RNA is filed under the name uncultured bacterium. RNAcentral describes it as "bacterial SSU rRNA". It matches the Rfam family "Bacterial small subunit ribosomal RNA", at positions 777 to 1307 of the family's 1533-position model. The record is from RNAcentral.
AAUAGAUACCCAGGUAGUCCACGCCGUAAACGAUGAGUGCUAAGUGUUAGAGGGUUUCCGCCCUUUAGUGCUGCAGCAAACGCAUUAAGCACUCCGCCGUGGGGAGUACAGUCGCAAGACUGAAACUCAAAGGAAUUGACGGGGGCCCGCACAAGCGGUGGAGCAUGUGGUUUAAUUCGAAGCAACGCGAAGAACCUUACCAGGUCUUGACAUCCUUCGCUACUUCUAGAGAUAGAAGGUUCCCCUUCGGGGGACGGAGUGACAGGUGGUGCAUGGUUGUCGUCAGCUCGUGUCGUGAGAUGUUGGGUUAAGUCCCGCAACGAGCGCAACCCUUGACCUUAGUUGCCAGCAUUUAGUUGGGCACUCUAAGGUGACUGCCGGUGACAAACCGGAGGAAGGUGGGGAUGACGUCAAAUCAUCAUGCCCCUUAUGACCUGGGCUACACACGUACUACAAUGGAUGGUACAAAGGGCUGCAAGACUGCGAAGUCAAGCCAAUCCCAUAAAAACCAUUCUCAGUUCGGAUUGCAGGCUG